GAUGAACGCUGGCGGCGUGCCUAAUACAUGCAAGUCGAGCGGACAGACGAGGAGCUUGCGCCUCUGACGUUACCGACGGGCGGGUAAGUAACACGUGGAUAACCUACCUAUAAGACUGAGGUAACUUCGGGAGAGCGGAGCUCAUACCAGAUGAUAUAUUGAACGGCAUGGUUGAAUAGUGAAAGAGGGUUUUGCUGUCACUUCUAGCUAUAUCCGCGCCGGUUGAGUAAGUUGGUAAGGUAACGGCUUACCAAGGCAGGGAUGCGUAGCCGACCUGAGAGGGUGUACGGGCACACUGGAGCUGAGACACGGCCCAGACUCCGACGGGAGGCAGCAGUAGCGAAUCUUCCGCGAUGGGCGAAAGCCUGACCGAGCAACGCCGCGUGGGUGAUGAAGGUCUUCGUAUCGUAAAACUCUGUUAUUAUUGAAGAACAAAUUUGUAAGUAACGAUGCACGUUUUGACGGUACCUAAUCAGAAAGCCCCGGCUAACUACGUG
This 497-nucleotide ribosomal RNA is filed under the name uncultured bacterium. Its description in RNAcentral is "partial 16S ribosomal RNA". It matches the Rfam family "Bacterial small subunit ribosomal RNA", at positions 28 to 507 of the family's 1533-position model. The record is from RNAcentral.